AGAGUUUGAUCAUGGCUCAGGAUGAACGCUAGCGGCAGGCUUAACACAUGCAAGUCGAGGGGCAGCGGGGUGUAGCAAUACACUGCCGGCGACCGGCGCACGGGUGCGUAACGCGUGUGCAACCUACCCAUAACAGGGGCAUAACACUGAGAAAUUGGUACUAAUUCCCCAUAACAUUCGAAGAGGCAUCUCUUUGGGUUGAAAACUCCGGUGGUUAUAGAUGGGCAUGCGUUGUAUUAGCUAGUUGGG
Molecule: ribosomal RNA, 249 nt
Filed under: uncultured bacterium
Lineage: Bacteria
Description: partial 16S ribosomal RNA
Rfam family: Bacterial small subunit ribosomal RNA
Source: RNAcentral